Leptonychotes weddellii (Weddell seal) is the source of this 3237-nucleotide non-coding RNA. The record is from RefSeq and is a predicted model, not a curated record. Lineage: Eukaryota; Metazoa; Chordata; Mammalia; Carnivora; Phocidae.
AGUCGCGGCGCCUCUUGGGCGCAGCUCCCUGCAGGCGGCGGGGGUUGCGGGCUCGCGCCGGGCGGGGGAAGGUCCCUGGGCGGCCCGAGGCCGGCCGUGUGGGCGCAGGAACGGAUGGAGAGAGGCCGGCAUGCUGUCUCAGGGUCCGGUGUGGACCCGGAGUUUCGGGAGAUCCUGAAACCCCUGGGCGGCGUUGAGGCCCACUCGGGCUCGGCCUGUGGGUGGCCUGCCGGGGGUCAAAGCUGCCCUGCUGUCCGGCGUGCACAUGGACAUCUGCCAAGACUGGCCCAGCGGCGUGUCCCUGGUUCCCGACUGCGGCCGCCCUGUCGUCUCCCUGUCUAGGGUGGCUCCUUAUGUGGGGGGCUCUCCUGAGCCAGAGUUGGAAGAAGCAGACAUUUUUGCAGAGGCUCCUGGAAACUUUGGCUGUCGCCUGGAUGUCCCUAUGAAAAGAACAUUCCACCCGUGGGGAAAAACAACUUAAACAGCUUGGGGUGACCUUUAACCUCCACGCCGACUAUGUGGCCUUUACAGAGUGCCACUCUGUGGGGACAGAAGCGAGGCCUCAGGGGAGCUCGGGCAGCUCUGCUGUUAAUUCACACCCAGAUUCCGAGACUUUCUCUGCACCGCAGAGUUCCUGCUGGGAAACGUCAGUGACCUUGAUUCUGCAUCAGGAGAGUAAAAGCCGACACUCUUCCUGCGGGGACACAGGCUCCUUGUUGGAGAGCCAACGUGGGAUUUCAGUGCAGCGUGGCUGGGAAGUUGAGCUGGUAAUUUGCAGGCAGUUGGGACAGGUCUGGUCUGACUGGGAGUGUCAGUCCUAGGACAGCCCUGCGUGGCUUUGCUGGAUGGGCACCCCCUGUCGUCUGAGGGAGGUAUAGAGGCCGAGGGUGCAGGUGCCUUUGAGUUUAUGCCGAGCUCCGCCUGCAGGAGCAGGGGGCCUGGCAGCUGGGCCCCCUGGUCUGCGGAGAGGAGGCGGGGCGCUGGCCUGGGCCAGUGGGCAGGGACUGAGCAUCGGGGAGCCUUCACUGCCACCUGGUGGACGGCCCAGAAAGGUGAUGGGGACUGGUGGCCAGUGCAGAGAGACGUGGCCCAGGCAAGGCGGGGAUGUGCAGAGCAUCUUCGAGGACAGCCGGGUGGACGGGCUGCAGGAAUGGGUGGGAUGGUGACAGGGACAGGGCAGCCACAGACUCCGGUCAUGUCAGUCCUCGUGCUUGCCCCUGAAUCUGGGCAGUCGGCCGGUGGCUGCAGCGCUCCGGGUCUGAGGGACGGGAAAUUCUCUGAUGAUGUUCGAGGCCCCGCAAAGCCAUAGACCUCCGGGAGCCUGUCCUCCUGGGGCCCAGCGAGGAAGGAAAGGUCAUACGUGUGAGAGAGGAUGGGGUCCCCUCCCCUGACAGCCCUGGCUGUGACCCGUAUCUUCAGAAGCCCCUGUGAGCUCGUGUUUGAAGACUGAGGUGAAGAUCACGUAACAGAGGAAGCGUUUUCGAAGUGUGCAGCUCCGUCCCCAUUACAGGCGUCGAGUGCGUUCACCGUGCCCUGCGCCCACCUCCCCCAUCUGGUUCCGGAGCACUGUCAUCCGCUCGAAGGCAGCCCCGGCCCUCCCGCGGCUGGCGCCUGCUCUCUGCAUCCGUGGGCUUCUCGUCAGUGCGAUCCUACCCCGUGUGAUCUUUUGCGUUUGGCGCAUUUCUUGGGCGUCCGCCGUGUGGCAGCCCCCUGGUCCUCUUCACGGCUGAGUACUCUGCGCCGCGUGCUGGCCGUCCACGGUGGGGCCGCGGGAAGGCCUGCGCCUUCGGGGGACCGUGGGCAGUGCUGCCACCAACCCCCACCCGCACGUUUCUGUUGGAACGCUGUUUUCAGGUCCGUGGCGUGUGUCUCCAGGGGUGGGCCUGCUGGGCCACGUGGUGACUCUAUGUUUAGCUUUUUGAGGAACCACCCAGCUGUUCCUCCUAGUGACUCACGAUCGCACAUCCCCACCAGCACCACGCAAGGGCUUGGAUUUCUCCGCUUCCUCACCGGCUUUGUGAUUUGUUUUUUGGUUCUGGCCAUCCUGGUGGAUGGGAGGUGGUGUCCCAGUGUGGUUUUGAUUUGCAUUUCCCUGAAGCCUCGUGACAGUGGGCACCUUGGCACGUGUGUAGCGCUUUCCUUGGAGGAGCCAGACUUCUCUAGAAUUUCGUUAUUUCAGGACUCCAUCAGGGAAGUGAGCCCUGGAGGCCAGACAGCCGCUCUCAGAGGCUUCUGACCAAAACUUGGCCCCCGUCCGCCCAGCUACCGGAGGGACUCCCUGGACCCAGUUCAGCUGCGUCCUGCAGCCCAGGCAGAGCCCCAGAAGCAGCAGGGACCACGGGCCGCUCUGUGAGUUGAGCAAUUCCUGGGUGCAUUCCGGAUGGAGCCCCCUGGCCUGAAGACGGUCCCGGGCUGUCCGGCAUCUGAGAUGUCUUCGAGGAUCUGCAGCCCCUCCCCUGCCCGGUGCUCUCAGGGAAGAAACAGGGCAGUUGCCCUCAGACACGCGGAGUGAAUGGAAGUGCUGACCUGUUGCCUGCGGAUGCUUUGGGUGGGAGCCCAGACCGUCUGUGGCCCUGGCAGGACCGGGCUGCCAGGUGGUGUCCGGGAGCCAGGGAGCCGGGCUCCAGCAACCUGCCCAAGGCCUCUGACCACCAGCCCCCGGGACAGGUGGGGUGGGACCAGGCUUCAGCCUUGUCACACACAGGCCAGGACCUGGGAGGGGCUUUCCCUGGGCCACGAGACCUCCCUCUCCCCACCCAGGGCCCUGGGCCGCUGCAUCUGCAUCCUGGUGGUCAAGAGCCUCAGGCUUGAGCAGCAUCGGGCUUUGUCAGGAGAUCGGGUUUACGGGAUGGCCCAGAACAUGGUGCAUGUUGGUGAGCGUUCUGUGUCGCGUGAACAGAAUGUGCGCUCUGCCGUGGGCGAGUCCGUCCGGCUGGUCUCCAUCCUCAUCCUGGAAGCCUGGCUGCCUCAUGUCCAGCCUCCAAGAGAUGGUCCGUCCUUCGGUUCUACCGCUUGUGCGUUGAAGUGCUGUGGUUCUGUGGGUACUCGGACUGCGAUGCCUGCCUUUGUCACAUAACGUCCCCCCCGUCUCGGCGAUAUUCGUCUUGAAAUCCACGCUGUCUGAUGCUGACGUGACCAUUGCAGCUUUCCCUGGAUUCGCAUCUCCCAAGAUACAUUUUCCCCAUCUUUUUAUUUUUUUCCUGUCUUUAUAUUAAAGUGGGCUUCUUAGACACGGCA